UACGAAGGGUGCAAGCGUUACUCGGAAUUACUGGGCGUAAAGGGUGCGUAGGUGGUUUGUUAAGUCUGCUGUGAAAUCCCCGGGCUCAACCUGGGAAUGGCAGUGGAUACUGGCAAGCUAGAGUGCGGUAGAGGGUAGUGGAAUUCCCGGUGUAGCAGUGAAAUGCGUAGAGAUCGGGAGGAACACCCGUGGCGAAGGCGGCUCACUGGGCUGACCUUGACGCUGAGGCGCGAAGGCGUGGGGAGCGAACGGG
This 253-nucleotide ribosomal RNA is filed under the name uncultured bacterium. Its description in RNAcentral is "partial 16S ribosomal RNA". It matches the Rfam family "Bacterial small subunit ribosomal RNA", at positions 524 to 776 of the family's 1533-position model. The record is from RNAcentral.